This 745-nucleotide ribosomal RNA is filed under the name uncultured bacterium. RNAcentral describes it as "bacterial SSU rRNA". It matches the Rfam family "Bacterial small subunit ribosomal RNA", at positions 33 to 773 of the family's 1533-position model. The record is from RNAcentral.
ACGCUGGCGGCAGGCCUAACACAUGCAAGUCGAGCGGUAGAGAGAAGCUUGCUUCUCUUGAGAGCGGCGGACGGGUGAGUAAUGCCUAGGAAUCUGCCUGGUAGUGGGGGAUAACGUUCGGAAACGGACGCUAAUACCGCAUACGUCCUACGGGAGAAAGCAGGGGACCUUCGGGCCUUGCGCUAUCAGAUGAGCCUAGGUCGGAUUAGCUAGUUGGUGGGGUAAUGGCUCACCAAGGCGACGAUCCGUAACUGGUCUGAGAGGAUGAUCAGUCACACUGGAACUGAGACACGGUCCAGACUCCUACGGGAGGCAGCAGUGGGGAAUAUUGGACAAUGGGCGAAAGCCUGAUCCAGCCAUGCCGCGUGUGUGAAGAAGGUCUUCGGAUUGUAAGGCACUUUAAGUUGGGAGGAAGGGCCAUUACCUAAUACGUGAUGGUUUUGACGUUACCGACAGAAUAAGCACCGGCUAACUCUGUGCCAGCAGCCGCGGUAAUACAGAGGGUGCAAGCGUUAAUCGGAAUUACUGGGCGUAAAGCGCGCGUAGGUGGUUUGUUAAGUUGGAUGUGAAAUCCCCGGGCUCAACCUGGGAACUGCAUUCAAAACUGACUGACUAGAGUAUGGUAGAGGGUGGUGGAAUUUCCUGUGUAGCGGUGAAAUGCGUAGAUAUAGGAAGGAACACCAGUGGCGAAGGCGACCACCUGGACUGAUACUGACACUGAGGUGCGAAAGCGUGGGGAGCAAAC